Molecule: non-coding RNA, 73 nt
Organism: Bos taurus (domestic cattle)
Lineage: Eukaryota; Metazoa; Chordata; Mammalia; Artiodactyla; Bovidae
Source: Rfam
UUCCUGGCAGUCCAGUAGUUAGGACUCCACACUUCCAAUGCAGGGGGCACAGGUUCAAUCCCUGGUCAGGGAA